This 250-nucleotide long non-coding RNA is filed under the name Manihot esculenta (cassava). RNAcentral describes it as "long non-coding RNA (MESC_LNC007942)". The record is from RNAcentral. Lineage: Eukaryota; Viridiplantae; Streptophyta; Magnoliopsida; Malpighiales; Euphorbiaceae.
UGUGCUUGACCAUAGAAUAUUGUUAUCCCUUUUAAUACAUGAUCUUAGAUGUUUUAUGAUGUUUAUGUAAACCAACUCAACACAUGUUAUGUCACCCAUUGGGGCAUUGAUGAGAUCCCAAAGAGGGGUCAAUGUUUAUGGUUAUGUUUAUGUAUAGUGCAUGCACAGGUUGAGUUUGGUAAAGGAAUGAAAGAAAAGUUCAAAAUUUUUAUGUAUGUUGUUGAUCAUGUAUGGGAUUAAACAGGUUCAC